This is a non-coding RNA of Acanthaster planci (crown-of-thorns starfish), 73 nucleotides long. The record is from the annotation of a RefSeq genome assembly. Lineage: Eukaryota; Metazoa; Echinodermata; Asteroidea; Valvatida; Acanthasteridae.
GGGCUUGUAGUUCAGUUGGGAGAAUAUCUGAUUUGCACUCAGAAGGUCAGCGGUUCGAAUCCGCUCAAGUCCA